AGAGUUGAUCAUGGCUCAGAACGAACGCUGGCGGCGCGUCUUAAGCAUGCAAGUCGAGCGGGAAUACCUAGCUUGCUAGGUAUGAGAGCGGCGGACUGGUGAGUAACGCGUGGGUGACGUACCCUCCGGACGGGGAUAGCUCCUAGAAAUAGGAGGUAAUACCGGAUACGGUGUAUGUUGUCAGAGGACAUACAGGAAAGCAGCCUUUGCUGCGCCGGAGGAGCGGCCCGCGUACUAUUAGCUAGUUGGUGAGGUAACGGCCCACCAAGGCGACGAUAGUUAUCCGGCCUGAGAGGGUGAACGGACACAUUGGGACUGAGAUACGGCCCAGACUCCUACGGGAGGCAGCAGCUAAGAAUAUUCCGCAAUGGGGGAAACCCUGACGGAGCGACGCCGCGUGGAAUGAUGAAGGCCGGAAGGUUGUAAAAUCCUUUUGUACGCGAGGAAUAAAUAAAGUGAGAGAAACGCUUUGUGGUGACGGUAGCGUACGAAUAAGCAACGGCUAAUUACGUGCCAGCCGCGGC
Molecule: ribosomal RNA, 524 nt
Filed under: uncultured bacterium
Lineage: Bacteria
Description: bacterial SSU rRNA
Rfam family: Bacterial small subunit ribosomal RNA
Source: RNAcentral